UUUGUACUCUUUCCGUCCGGAAAUACUUGUCGAAGAAAUGAAUGUACCUAGACGUAUUUUAGUUCUAGAUAUAUCCAUUUUUAUCCAUUUCUUCGACAAGUAUUUCGGGACGGAGGGAGUAUUAU
This is a non-coding RNA of Triticum aestivum (bread wheat), 125 nucleotides long. The record is from Rfam. Lineage: Eukaryota; Viridiplantae; Streptophyta; Magnoliopsida; Poales; Poaceae.